GUGUCAGCCGCCGCGGUAAUACGUAGGGAGCAAGCGUUGUCCGGAAUCAUUGGGCGUAAAGCGCGCGUAGGUGGCUUCGUAAGUCCGUUGUGAAAGUCAAAGGCUCAACCUUUGAAAGCCGAUGGAUACUGCGGAGCUAGAGUACGGAAGAGGCGAGUGGAAUUCCUGGUGUAGCGGUGGAAUGCGCAGAUAUCAGGAGGAACACCAAUAGCGAAGGCAGCUCGCUGGGACGUUACUGACACUGAGGCGCGAAAGCGUGGGGAGCGAACAGGAUUAGAUACCCUGGUAGUCCACGCCGUAAACGAUGGGUACUAGGUGUGGGAGGUGUCGACUCCUCCCGUGCCGUCGCUAACGCACUAAGUACCCCGCCUGGGGAGUACGGCCGCAAGGCUAAA
This 395-nucleotide ribosomal RNA is filed under the name uncultured bacterium. Its description in RNAcentral is "bacterial SSU rRNA". It matches the Rfam family "Bacterial small subunit ribosomal RNA", at positions 505 to 898 of the family's 1533-position model. The record is from RNAcentral.